This 1016-nucleotide ribosomal RNA is filed under the name uncultured bacterium. Its description in RNAcentral is "bacterial SSU rRNA". It matches the Rfam family "Bacterial small subunit ribosomal RNA", at positions 357 to 1376 of the family's 1533-position model. The record is from RNAcentral.
AGGAAUAUUGGUCAAUGGGCGAGAGCCUGAACCAGCCAAGUAGCGUGAAGGAUGACUGCCCUAUGGGUUGUAAACUUCUUUUAUAAAGGAAUAAAGUCGGGUAUGGAUACCCGUUUGCAUGUACUUUAUGAAUAAGGAUCGGCUAACUCCGUGCCAGCAGCCGCGGUAAUACGGAGGAUCCGAGCGUUAUCCGGAUUUAUUGGGUUUAAAGGGAGCGUAGAUGGAUAUUUAAGUCAGUUGUGAAAGUUUGCGGCUCAACCGUAAAAUUGCAGUUGAUACUGGAUAUCUUGAGUGCAGUUGAGGCAGGCGGAAUUCGUGGUGUAGCGGUGAAAUGCUUAGAUAUCACGAAGAACUCCGAUUGCGAAGGCAGCCUGCUAAGCUGCAACUGACAUUGAGGCUCGAAAGUGUGGGUAUCAAACAGGAUUAGAUACCCUGGUAGUCCACACGGUAAACGAUGAAUACUCGCUGUUUGCGAUAUACUGCAAGCGGCCAAGCGAAAGCGUUAAGUAUUCCACCUGGGGAGUACGCCGGCAACGGUGAAACUCAAAGGAAUUGACGGGGGCCCGCACAAGCGGAGGAACAUGUGGUUUAAUUCGAUGAUACGCGAGGAACCUUACCCGGGCUUAAAUUGCAGAUGAAUUACGGUGAAAGCCGUAAGCCGCAAGGCAUCUGUGAAGGUGCUGCAUGGUUGUCGUCAGCUCGUGCCGUGAGGUGUCGGCUUAAGUGCCAUAACGAGCGCAACCCUUGUUGUCAGUUACUAACAGGUUUUGCUGAGGACUCUGACAAGACUGCCAUCGUAAGAUGUGAGGAAGGUGGGGAUGACGUCAAAUCAGCACGGCCCUUACGUCCGGGGCUACACACGUGUUACAAUGGGGGGUACAGAGGGCCGCUACCACGCGAGUGGAUGCCAAUCCCCAAAACCUCUCUCAGUUCGGACUGGAGUCUGCAACCCGACUCCACGAAGCUGGAUUCGCUAGUAAUCGCGCAUCAGCCACGGCGCGGUAAAUACGUUCCCG